This 499-nucleotide long non-coding RNA is filed under the name Physcomitrium patens. RNAcentral's name for it is "long non-coding RNA (PPAT_LNC012116)". Lineage: Eukaryota; Viridiplantae; Streptophyta; Bryopsida; Funariales; Funariaceae. The record is from RNAcentral.
UACCGUAAAUCUAUACAAAUGUCAUUCGACUGCUUGUCGAAAUCUUUUUUGCCCCAGCCGGUAGGUCUCUAGACGUUACAAAGAACCCCGAACAACCCGAUCUGCUAAUCUCCGAUACCGCUUUAUACUCACGACUUUGUAUCCACUGACUGUCUUGUUAGAUUAAUCCAAUAAAUUUCAUUCACUCUGCAUACUCAAUCCUAUAGACACCCUUUUAAUUCUUCAUCACAGAUGUAACUCGAUUUCACAAAACAGUCAAGAGUAAUCACACCCACUUCAUUAAAAUCCCGAUUCACCAGUACAACACUGACUUCAGCAACGAUUGCCUUAGUCUUCCCAAAACCCUAUGAAGAAAAAAAACCCAAUUCUCUGUCUUUUUUCUCUGCCCCGAAGCAUGAAGAAGCUCCCCGACCCUUCUAAAAAACUUAUUCUCUCUCCCAUCAUUUCUUAACCUAUCCUCUCCUUUAACCCUAAUUCUCCCCUCUUUCAAAUCCUAGCC